UACGGAGGGGGCAAGCGUUAUUCGGAAUUACUGGGCGUAAAGCGCGCGCAGGCGGCCUUGUAAGUCUGAUGUGAAAGCCCGGGGCUCAACCUCGGAAGCGCACCGGAAACUGCGGGGCUAGGGUCUUGAAGAGGAGAGCGGAAUUCCCGGUGUAGAGGUGAAAUUCGUAGAUAUCGGGAGGAACACCAGUGGCGAAGGCGGCGAUCUGGGCAGAGACUGACGCUGAGGCGCGAAGGCGUGGGAAGCAAACAGG
This 253-nucleotide ribosomal RNA is filed under the name uncultured bacterium. Its description in RNAcentral is "partial 16S ribosomal RNA". It matches the Rfam family "Bacterial small subunit ribosomal RNA", at positions 524 to 776 of the family's 1533-position model. The record is from RNAcentral.